Molecule: long non-coding RNA, 1101 nt
Filed under: Macaca fascicularis (crab-eating macaque)
Lineage: Eukaryota; Metazoa; Chordata; Mammalia; Primates; Cercopithecidae
Description: lncRNA (ENSMFAG00000059427.1)
Source: RNAcentral
GCAUUAGAAAAGACAGAACCUUUGACAGCCUAGUAUUCCAUUCCUGCCAGGGGCUGCUCCUGAACUCAUUCUAAAACAUGAAGCAUGCCUGAAAUAUUUUAUCAUGUCCAUUUUAUCAUAGGAAAACUGAGGAACAGGUAGGCCAGAAUUCUGUCCCAGGUAGUAAAGAAGACAGCAGUGGUGCCCACCACUUCACUACCUGCAUGUAAAAUGCCCACCAUAUGGAAUGUCAUCAAAUGUUUAAAAUUUCCUUUAGUUUUAUUGACAACCCCCAAUAUUCUGAGUUUGGACAAUUAGUGGUCUUUUAGUGCAUUUUCUGAAUAGACUGCUGGAAGUGACAUUUCGCCCACCCCAGUCCUGAAGGUGACCAACAUGCAAAGUCAUCUUUGCCCUUUUCUUUGACUUCUCUGAUUUGGGUUUUACCAUCUCUCAACAUGAGCCUGUUGCUCAGUUUUCCUCCUUAUCCUCCAGCCCUACAGGCUUGCCUCACUCUCUCCCUGCAGAAUCACUGUAAAGGUCUGCCAUCGGACAGCUCUUCCCCUCCUUCAGUGUUGAACCCAUGCCUGCCUGUCCAGCACACAGGAUGCCAGACCCACCCAUUUAGUGUGACACUGGUUGAGGCUCACUGCCCAGCACCCACAAUCCUGCUCAUGAACCAGGCUCAUCUGCUAGUAGAUUUUCCCUUUCAAUGGAGAAGGGUUUCAUAAUAAAAGUUCUUUCAUCGCUCUUUUUAGUUUGCAUCCUCAAAUCUGAAAUAUACCAUAACAGACUCUUGAGAGAGCCUUUUUAGGCCAAGCACGGUGGCUCAUGCCUGUAAUCCCAGCACUUUGGGAGGCCGAGGUGGGUGGAUGACCUGAGCUCAGGAGUUUGAGACCAACCUGGCCAACAUAGUGAAACCCAGUCUCUACUAAAAAUACAAAAAUUAGCUAGGACUUGGGGGCACAUCCCUGCAAUCCCAGCUACCUGGGAGGCUGAGGCAGGAGAAUCACUUGAACCCAGGAGGGGGAGUUUGCAGUGAGCCGAGACUGAGCCACUGCACUCCAGCCUGGGUGACAGAGUGAGAGUGAGACCGCAUCUCAAAAAAAAAAAAAAAAAAAAAAA